AUACUUACCUGAGAAGGGAGAUACCAUGAUCACGGAGGUGGUUUCCCCAGGGUGAAGCUUAUCCAUUGCACUCUGGAUGUGCUGAUCUUUGCGAUUUCCCCAAAUGUGAAAAACUCAACUGCAUAAUUUAUGAUAGUGGGGGACUGCGUUCGUGCUCUCCCCUG
Small nuclear RNA from Echinops telfairi (small Madagascar hedgehog), 164 nucleotides. RefSeq annotates it as U1 spliceosomal RNA. The transcript has a single exon. Lineage: Eukaryota; Metazoa; Chordata; Mammalia; Afrosoricida; Tenrecidae. The record is from RefSeq and is a predicted model, not a curated record.